This is a long non-coding RNA of Anguilla rostrata (American eel), 1487 nucleotides long. RefSeq lists it as uncharacterized. NCBI's taxonomy places the organism in Eukaryota, Metazoa, Chordata, Actinopteri, Anguilliformes, Anguillidae. The record is from RefSeq and is a predicted model, not a curated record. The transcript has 3 exons.
AGGGAGACAUUUCUUUUUUUGAGGGCAACUGGAAUAAGUAAAAGGAUAUAAGAGAUCCAGACAGCAAUACAUGGUUAGAUCCAGAAGGAGGCGGUAAUGCAACUAAAAAGGAUGCCAACUGCCAUGAAACACCAAAGAAGAAGGAGAAGAAGAAGAAGAAGAAGAAGAAGAAGAAGAAGAGGGUAAUUGGGAUCACCUGAUCAUGGAAUGCAAAUGGUGGCCGUCUUUGUUUGGUUUAAGAAGGUAUUGGCAGGUCUUAAAAAAGCCACCAAAAAGAGCUCUAAAUGAGGUUUAAUUUCUCAUUAAUGAUCUUAUCUGGAUAAUCAAUGCCUUUGCCAAUGUUCUUUGUCGACACGUCUGAAAAAGAGCAGGUCCCGGCAGAUGCAAGGUCCUGGCAGGGCACUGUGGAGUGGCCCUGCCCUCUCCUCAUAAAUUGUCGUGUCCUUUCUGCUCCCGGGGAUGCUGCGUAUGUCUGCUGAAAUGGAUGAAAAGAGAGUCUGUUUUGAGCUGUGUGACCUGCUGCAGCUCCCUCCUCACAUUCCUGCAAUCUGGAGAUCUUUUUUCAGCUUUCUGACGGCACAAACGACAGCCUACGCAGACUGGCGCACACAGACCUGCGGCGGCUAAAUGGUUCUUUGUGUUGUCAUGGGGGCUGAGGAGUGAAAUUGCUGUUUUUAAAAGUUAUGUUUUGUCUGGAAGCAGCGCUGGGGCGUUAGAGCUCUGCAGGACAGGGGGCACGCAGUGGCCAAAUGUUUUUGGCCAGGAAGGUCCUGCUUUCAAGCAAAGUGUCCUGAAAAAUUCUUUUUUCAAUAAAUCCAGUAAAAAUGGUCAGUUUAAUGGCACAUUUUAUUAUUUAUUAUAUUUAUUAUCUGUAUUAAAUUAUAAAAAAUAUGUCUAAAAUUAAGUGCUAUGGACUAAGAUCUUAUUUUUAUUUCUGAUUAGCACAAUCAAUAACGCUUUGUUGUUAUAUCAAUGAUGUUAUAUUUGUGCAGAAUUACAAUCUUUAGACUGCUGUCUGGGCGGCACGCUGUGCCAAUAAAAAAAUAAUACGAUUUUUAAAUGCUACAAAUAUAAUUAAUCUUUGUAAGUCAGACAGAUAUAAGAGCGCCUGUUAAACACUGUGUUUAGUGUUUAUAUGUGUGACGUUAAAGAGGCUCAAUUUCCUUUCUGUCUUCACUUAGAGAGAUCUGAUUAUUCAAAACAACAUCCUGUUACAUUACAGGCAUUCAGCAGACGCUCUUAUCCAGAGCAACUUGCACAGCUUUUUUUACACAGUAUUUACACUGCAUCCACCUGGAUAUAUACUGAAGCUAUGCAGGUUAAGUAUCUUGCUCAAGGGUACAACGGCUGUGUCCUACCUGUGACCUGUGACCUUUAGGUUACAGGACCAGCCCCUACCCAUUAUACUAUACCCUACCCAUAUGUACUAUACUGUGUGUUCUGAUGUCUGUUCUGACAUGUAUGCAUCUAAGAUUAAAUCAUCUUAA